RNAcentral lists this ribosomal RNA (253 nucleotides) under uncultured bacterium. RNAcentral's name for it is "partial 16S ribosomal RNA". It matches the Rfam family "Bacterial small subunit ribosomal RNA", at positions 524 to 776 of the family's 1533-position model. The record is from RNAcentral.
UACGUAGGGUGCGAGCGUUAUUCGGAUUUACUGGGCGUAAAGCGUGCGCAGGCGGUGAGGUAAGUCAGGUGUGAAAUCCCCGGGCUUAACCUGGGAACUGCAUUUGUGACUGCAUCGCUGGAGUGCGGCAGAGGGGGAUGGAAUUCCGCGUGUAGCAGUGAAAUGCGUAGAUAUGCGGAGGAACACCGAUGGCGAAGGCAAUCCCCUGGGCCUGCACUGACGCUCAUGCACGAAAGCGUGGGGAGCAAACAGG